UAUCUACCACCUGUGGAUCCCAAGAAGCUGAUUGAUUCUUUAGAGUGGAUGGAUUAUGGCCGAGUAAAUGAUAUCAUGCGAAAGUUGAUAGGAGACAGACCUGACACAUACAUAGACACAAAAGCGUUGGCAGAAUAUGUUGUACAACAAGAAGGAGCAAAGCUAAAUGUGGAGAUUGUAAGGCCGUCUAUUGUUGGUGCCAGUUGGAAAGAACUUUCCAGGAUGGAUUGAUAACUUUAAUGGACCAAGUGGUCUCUUUAUUGUGGCAGGGAAAGGAAUUCUUUGAACAAUGCGCGUCUCCAAUAAUGCCCUUGAAGAUCUUGUUCCUGUAGAUGUAGUUGUCAACAACAGUCUUGUGGCAGCCUGGUAUUCCGGAGUUAAUAGAACAAGAAACCUCAUGUCAUAUAAUUGUACAACAGAUAGCACUAAUCAUUUCCACUGGGGUGAAGUUUAAUACCAUGUAAUUUCUACUUUCAAGAGGAAUCCUCUCGAACAGGCCUUCAGAUGGCCCAAUGUAAAUCUAACCUCCAAUCACCUUUUAUAUCAUUACUGGAUUGCUGUAAGCCAUAAGGCCUCAGCAUUCCUGGAUGAUAUCUACCUCAGGAUGACUGGAAGAAGCCCAAGGAUGAUGAAAACAAUAAUUCAUCUUCACAAAGCUGUGAUGUUACUUGAGUAUUUCACAAGUAAUUCUUGGGUUUGGAAUACGGACAAUGUCAAUAUGUUAAUGAAUCAACUAAACCUUGAAGAUAAAAAGACUUUCAAUAUUGAUGUACGGCAGUUACAUUAGGCAGAAUAUAUAGAGAACUACUGCAUGGGAACUGAGAAGUACAUAUUGAAUAAAGAAACGUCUGGCCUCCCUGCAGUCAGAAAACAUCUGAACAAGUUGCAUAAUAUAUCUUAUGAUUUUAAUACUAUCCUUGUGAUCCUCAUCUGA
RNAcentral lists this long non-coding RNA (934 nucleotides) under Homo sapiens (human). RNAcentral's name for it is "non-protein coding lnc-GPC5-9:1". Lineage: Eukaryota; Metazoa; Chordata; Mammalia; Primates; Hominidae. The record is from RNAcentral.